Molecule: long non-coding RNA, 950 nt
Filed under: Parus major (Great Tit)
Lineage: Eukaryota; Metazoa; Chordata; Aves; Passeriformes; Paridae
Description: lncRNA (ENSPMJG00000016766.1)
Source: RNAcentral
GCCAAAAGAAACUAAUUUAGGAAGAGUAUUGUUGAGAACAACUUUAAAGAAGUUAUUUUUUCUGUUCCCAGCCUAAUUUCUUGCUGCCCAGGAGUACCACUGCUGUGUGAAUCACAUACCCGGGCUCUUGGUCCUUCUGCAAACAGCAACCUGUUUCCAUCAUCUACUACCUUCUGCUCAGCUACAGGAGUGCAAAUCAGCAGCCUCUUGUCUGGAGCAACAGUGCUGUCAAAUGAUGAAACAUGUCUCUGUCCCAUGGAGAGAAAAGAUGGAGCUGACCUCAGAUAGGAGCCAUCUCCACACUGGUGACCUGUGACCACUGACCCCAGCUGAGUUUCCCAUACUUCUGGGCCUUCUGAAGAGCCCAGCCCCUCCCACAGCUGCUCACAUAGCAACGGAGCAAAGCAGAGGGUCUGCAGGGGCCGUCAGCACUGUGUGGAGAUAGAUACUAAUGACUUUGGAUGGGUGCUGAGCAGCAGAUCUGGGGGGGCUGCAGCGACACACACACCUCCUCCGAAAGGUCAGUGGUACAUGGGGCUUGACCCCACAUUCCUGGUGCAUCCCUGACCCCUGCUGCAGUCAAUCAGACCUAUUCUGUGGCACCAUUAACUUAGAAGAUUUAUGUGCUCCGGGCAGUGGGAGGAGAGCUCGAUUUCAUUUCCAGCAUAGCUCUUUGCUUUCCUACCCACAUUCACGCUAAUGAUAACAGACGUGGAUUCAGCUUGAGUAGCCAGGGAAACAGCUCAAGCCUGACUCUGCUCCCAAGCAGAUGUGAACUACUGACUUAUUCUUUAACGAAGUUGUUGACAACUAAUGGUCUAAUGGGGGGGAGGCAAUUGAUUUUGGAUAACAUUUUAAAACUGCAGACUCAGCUCAACAAUUUAUAACCCUGGUGGUGGUUUAUUGCUUUGGCAGAGUUAAGUGGAUUGAGUGGCCAUAAACUUCCACCA